Cavia porcellus (domestic guinea pig) is the source of this 822-nucleotide long non-coding RNA. Lineage: Eukaryota; Metazoa; Chordata; Mammalia; Rodentia; Caviidae. The record is from Ensembl.
GAAACUGGCCGGCGCGCUCCGGCCCUGCAGGGACCGUGGUGGAGGGGAACUGCAAGAGGGCUUUGAAGGGCGGAGCCUGCGGGGAGGGGCGUGGCGGGCCCUGAAGUUGUCCUCUUCGUCACUUCCGAACCCGCAUAGUCGGCCGGCACCUACGCGGCUUUGUGCACUGUUUUUCCUUUCUGCUCUGUCCCUCCGUGCAACCACUCCCACACUCCGGAGAAAGACUCCCGUUUCCCAGCAGCGUUCUGCCACCCCGAGGCUCUGAUCUGCUCUGCUCUGGCAGUCCCGGUGCCACUCUGAGGAGCAUGGAGAGACCAAGGCCGGGCACACCUCCGGUCAGCGCAUCCAAGAAGCCCUUCUGUGCUAGGACAGCAGAGUUGGCAGGACCCCAGCCCAGCUCCUCUCUUGUGCGCAUUUCUCAUGAAGAGCCCAGUGGAAAAGCCUCUGCCAUUGGAGACAGACAGACCUGACCACAAGGUCCACCCCACACCAGCUGCAAGACAGGAGAAAUAGCCACACAAACUGGGAGGGACUACUGUGAAGGAAAGGGUGCUGGACAAGCAUUCCACCUAGGCCCACUGCUGGGUGAUGGCCAGUGAAUGCCUGGUGCUCUGCUCCACCUAGCCUGAGCCCUGGAGAGCCCAGCUGUUGUUCUCACCGCUCUCUGGGCUGAUGAUAGUAACAAGACUGCUGCUUGUUCCUUUGAUUGAUGUUCUGUGCUGUAUAUAUACACAUGUAUUCUCUUUCUCUAUGUCUCUCUGUCUGUCUCUGUCUCUGUAUCUGUCUCUCUCUGACUGGGGACUGGACACAGGGCAUUCACAC